This 998-nucleotide ribosomal RNA is filed under the name uncultured Alphaproteobacteria bacterium. RNAcentral describes it as "bacterial SSU rRNA". It matches the Rfam family "Bacterial small subunit ribosomal RNA", at positions 8 to 1050 of the family's 1533-position model. Lineage: Bacteria; Pseudomonadati; Pseudomonadota; Alphaproteobacteria. The record is from RNAcentral.
AGAGUUUGAUCCUGGCUCAGAACGAACGCUGGCGGCAGGCCUAACACAUGCAAGUCGAACGGUCCUUCGGGAUAGUGGCGCACGGGUGCGUAACGCGUGGGAAUAUACCCUUGAGUACGGAAUAAUGUCUGGAAACGGACACUAAUACCGUAUAAUGACUUCGGUCCAAAGAUUUAUCGCUCAAGGAUUAGCCCGCGUCUGAUUAGUUUGUUGGUGAGGUAACGGCUCACCAAGACUACGAUCAGUAGCUGGUCUGAGAGGAUGAUCAGCCACACUGGAACUGAGACACGGUCCAGACUCCUACGGGAGGCAGCAGUGAGGAAUAUUGGACAAUGGGGGCAACCCUGAUCCAGCCAUGCCGCGUGAGUGAAGAAGGCCUUAGGGUUGUAAAGCUCUUUCAAUAGUGAAGAUAAUGACGGUAACUAUACAAGAAGCCCCGGCUAAAUUCGUGCCAGCAGCCGCGGUAAUACGAAUGGGGCAAGCGUUGUUCGGAAUCACUGGGCUUAAAGCGUGCGCAGGCGGAUAUGCAAGUCAGGAGUGAAAUCCCAGGGCUCAACCCUGGAACUGCUCUUGAAACUGCAUAUCUAGAAUACUGGAGAGGUCGGGAGAAUUCCUAGUGUAGAGGUGAAAUUCGCAGAUAUUAGGAGGAAUACCAGUGGCGUAGGCGCCCGACUGGACAGUUAUUGACGCUCAUGUACGAAAGCGUGGGGGAGCAAACAGGAUUAGAUACCCUGGUAGUCCACGCCGUAAACGAUGUAUGCUAGUUGUCGGGGGCUUAAGUCUUCGGUGACGCAGGGAAACCACUAAGCAUACCGCCUGGGGAGUACGGCCGCAAGGUUAAAACUCAAAGGAAUUGACGGGGACCCGCACAAGCGGUGGAGCAUGUUGUUUAAUUCGAAGCAACGCGAAGAACCUUACCUACUCUUGACAUCCUUCUUGGGGCUUUCAGAGAUGAUUGCCUUCGGUUCGGCCGGGGAAGUGACAGGUGCUGCAUGGCU